This is a non-coding RNA of Pelobates cultripes (western spadefoot toad), 644 nucleotides long. NCBI's taxonomy places the organism in Eukaryota, Metazoa, Chordata, Amphibia, Anura, Pelobatidae. The record is from the annotation of a GenBank genome assembly.
UGAUCCCAGAGGCAGAUUUGUCUUUGUGAAAGGAAUGUACAAUGGCACUUUGGUAACUCUAGCUAGCAUCUAUGUCCCUAAUGCAGACCAGGCCUCCUACAUACGAUCAUGUCUGACCAAGUUAGAGGCAUUUGCUGAGGGAGUAGUGGUAGUGGGCGGAGACUGGAAUAUGGUUCUUGACCAUUCAAUUGACAGCUCUUCCACCACUACAGACACCAGACGACAUCAAAGGAGGAUGUUCACUAACGUGCUACACACACACCAAUUAUCUGACUGCUGGAGGAUCAUGCACCCCCAAGGCAGAGACUACUCGUACUACUCUCAGACAGCUAAAAGCUACUCCAGAAUAGAUAUGUUCAUGAUCAGCCAUAGACACCUCCCCAUGGUCCAUGACGCAUCCAUAGGCAACAUUACGUGGUCGGAUCAUGCCCCGAUCCUCUUAACUCUCACCCUACAGGAUAGGUCCAGGCCUACUACACAGUGGCGCCUGAACGAAACCCUACUAGACGACCACAGGGUAUUAGAGGAUCUGCGGCAGACUGUAGCGACCUACUUUAAGGAGAAUAGUGGCACUGAGGUGUCAGAUCCUUGGGUGUGGGAAGCCCACAAGGGAGUCAUCAGGGGUAUACUUAUUAAGUGGGGCG